AGCGGCGUCGCGCGGCCGAGGGGCGGGGCAGCGGCGUCGCGCGGCCGAGGGGCGGGGCGUUGGCGUCACGCGGCUGAGGGGCGGCCCGCCGCCAUCUUGGGGCCGAGCGCGGAGCGAGCCCGGGCGGGGUUGGGGAGCUCGGUGUGGGGGCGGUGACAGAGCCGCAGCCUCGCCUGGCUUGGAGGUGACCGCAGAGAGCAUUGUGUCCCUGCUAUGACCGAACGCUACCGUGUCGGCCAGAGCAUGGCACUCAGUGCCUUACCCAGUCUUUCCUGGAACACCUCCAGGGACGGUGAUUGCACCACCUCCCUGAGCAGCCCAUUCCAAUGUCUGAUCACGCUUUCUGUGGCGAAAUUACUCCUGAUGUCCAACCUUAGCCUCCCCCGGUGCAGCUGGAGGCCGUUUCCUCCUCUCCUGUUGCUACUGCCUGGGAGAAGAGGCCGAUCCUCACCUGCCUACAUCCUCCUGUCAGAACUGAGUCUGGAAAUCUGCUGCAGAGGUGAGAGCUCCCAGUCACAAGGCACUGAGGUGUCUAGAGGAACUUCAGGACCUGCUUGGGCCACGACACACUCACAGAAAGUGUGACUGUCAGCAGUUGCAGGGAAGAAAUCUGUGUUGUCAAGUGCACACUCAUACAAGCAUGAAAUAAAUGCUUUGAGGGCUGAAUAUUCCCAGCCCAUGCACAAAUAGCCUCCUGGGAGCCUUGAUUCAGGAUUCUUGGAGCUGUCUUAGUUCAGCUUGCCUGGGAAGGUGAGGAGUUUGUCUGGGAGCACCUGUUUGAAGAUGCUGGCUCAUAGUGGUGGGAGCCAUCAGCAGAUGAGACCACCGAGGAACUCCUUUAGCUGUGACAUUGUAAUGGGAGGUGGAGACACCUCGAGGAGAAGGUCGAGACAGACAACAGCAAUUACAGUCAAUAACAUCCUGACUUGCCUCGAUUACAGGAAGAAGGGUUUUCCAACAGACUGGCGAAACACAAGCACACAUACAGUGCCCUGCAAAGGUUUGGCUGCCUGUGUUUGAGGUCUGUCAUGAUACAGUGGAAUGUAAUCUGGGAUCAGAGUGCCGUGAGAAGAGCUGUCUGCCAAAGAGCUGGGAGAAGCCAGCUGGGGCCUCCCCAAUUCCAUUGGGAGCCAUGGCACAGAGCUGCCCUUGUCUUCAGUCCUCAUUUGGGGUGGGCUGUAAGGCUGUUUGUGCCUGACUGUGGACCUGGCUUUAGCUGAUCCUGACUUGACUUCUUGUCUUCGCUUCAGACCUGGCACUUCAUCCCUGUGGCCUCACUGAUCUCCCGGCUAUAUGUGCUCACUGUCACCAGACCUGCUCUGCUCUUCUUGCUUGGUCACUGUGUCUGUGUGCCCCUUUACCCGAGGUCCCUGCUGUCCUUGCUGCCAGUCCCGCUCACCUUUGCUCCUCAGGCUCCCCAAGCUCCUCUGCAGCUGCUGCUCUGCCCAUUGCCUGGCAUGGACCACAGCACCUCCGUGUGUCUGAGACUCCUGGAGGGGAUGGGCACCGAUAUGAGAGACAUUAUUGCUGUGACAAUGAGGAAGAUGCAGCGUUAGUUUUGCCUCCCUCCAGCUACCCAAAAAGCCAAAGCGAAAUUCAGGUCUAUCAGCAGAGCCCGGAUCCGGGAGAGCAGCCGGCAGGAGGAGCUCGCUGGACACGCCGCUGGAUCGUUCCCAAGCAGUCACAGACGCAUGUUUCAAGGGCAUCGCUUCAGAUCUGCCUUCCUGGGACUUUCUUGCAGACAAACCACCAACAGCAGAAGGCACAGGAAACUUCGUGGUAUUGCAACCGAGCAGCCCCCGUGAUUUAUAUUAAACGUUUUAGACUUUUCUCAGCUCGGUUUCUCUUCUUGGUUUCUCCCACCAUCAUGCUUUUACCUGUCAUUAUUUUACAUUAUUUUAGAUACUUAAGGUGUUCAGGAAGAUACUGAGGAUGCCUUUGAGUCCC
Motacilla alba alba is the source of this 1947-nucleotide long non-coding RNA. RefSeq lists it as uncharacterized. NCBI's taxonomy places the organism in Eukaryota, Metazoa, Chordata, Aves, Passeriformes, Motacillidae. The transcript is spliced from 6 exons. The record is from RefSeq and is a predicted model, not a curated record.